UCAUAACUGGUCGCUUUCCAGGCCGCGGCCCAGCACGAGAAGGCUGAAUUUGCUGUCGCCGACGUAGCUCGGACUGACGGUGCUGAGGUUGCAGACACUGAGGCUGAAGCAAAAUGGAUUAAUUGUUACCCGGGCUGGUCAUGUUACUCCGGGUGGGGAACGUGGGACUACUACUGCUACUACUGGGAGUUUACUGCUUACACGUGCUAUUCCUACUACUACGGUACCUUGCGCUGCUGCGUUCCUUAUUACUUAGGAUAGCGGACUAUUACUGCGAUACACGGGAAGUUUUUGGUCCUGGUAAAUACUACGUUGUCCUAGUAACUAGCUAGUUCUUGGUCCUGGUAACUACUUCGUCGUCGUGGUAACUAGCUAGUUCUUGGUCCUGGUAGCUAGCAAGUCUGUACAUGGCUUGUUCAAUAAAUAUUAGUGUCGCCGGUGUAUCGCUCACUGCUGAACAUCGACUCAUUUCCUGGCUACUUUCUUCGAUAUGAUAUUCUCUGGUGUGUCUUCAUGAAAAAACGCAUUAAAAAGCAACUUGCA
Long non-coding RNA from Hyalella azteca, 543 nucleotides. RefSeq lists it as uncharacterized. The record is from RefSeq and is a predicted model, not a curated record. The transcript is spliced from 3 exons. NCBI's taxonomy places the organism in Eukaryota, Metazoa, Arthropoda, Malacostraca, Amphipoda, Hyalellidae.